This is a long non-coding RNA of Diprion similis, 352 nucleotides long. RefSeq lists it as uncharacterized. The transcript has 3 exons. NCBI's taxonomy places the organism in Eukaryota, Metazoa, Arthropoda, Insecta, Hymenoptera, Diprionidae. The record is from RefSeq and is a predicted model, not a curated record.
CUGACCAUGAGAGAAUUCGUUCGAAACUACGAUGCAAAUACACCGAUUGCCUGAAUUAUGGAUGUACGAAGCCCCGCGUCCAUUCCUGCUGCAGGGUGAGAGAUAAGAAUUCGAUAUAGAGCAAGAAGUAGACGUGGAGGUACACCGCCAUUGUGCAGAGGGAGGAUCAUUCUCUCUUUGGCUACCGGGUCGCCGAAACCUUAUUGCGCCAUAUAACAGGGCCAUAUGGAGGGGCGAGCUGUUUGUUUUGACGAAAAACGUGCGAUGUUACACACACCCUCAUAUCCACACACAUACGUACACAACUGACAAGUGCUUUUCAUCCACAUCCACAUUAACAUCGAUCACCGCG